UUAUCGGAGAGUUUGAUCCUGGCUCAGGACGAACGCUGGCGGCGUGCCUAAUACAUGCAAGUCGAGCGGACAGAUGGGAGCUUGCUCCCUGAUGUUAGCGGCGGACGGGUGAGUAACACGUGGGUAACCUGCCUCUAAGACUGGGAUAACUCCGGACAACCGGGGCUAACACCGGAUGCUUGUUUGAACCGCAUGGUUCAGAAAUAAAAGGUGGCUGACGCUACCACUUACAGAUGGACCCUCGCGCCAUCAGCACGUUGGUGAGGUAACAGCCCACCAAAGCGAACAACCGUAGC
RNAcentral lists this ribosomal RNA (296 nucleotides) under Bacillus velezensis. RNAcentral's name for it is "partial 16S ribosomal RNA". It matches the Rfam family "Bacterial small subunit ribosomal RNA", at positions 1 to 287 of the family's 1533-position model. Lineage: Bacteria; Bacillati; Bacillota; Bacilli; Caryophanales; Bacillaceae. The record is from RNAcentral.